AUGGCCUUUGCAAUUAAAACUUUAUUAUCACUUUGAUACUUCAAUUCUGUUUUUAACAAUUUACAAAAAUUAUAGACUGAAUCACUUCAGAAAACAUUUUUUUUGUAAAUUUGAAAUUUUGAUACUAGUGGCGAGGGAAUUUCGUGUACGCAAAAUGUAGUACUUGCCACCAAUAUUAAAAACAAAACAUACUAGGCAAGUAACGUCCGUAAAUAUACCACUACGUUAACUAAAAACGUUAAGCAGGAAGUGGAUAAUGAAAAAAGAGACAAGUACGAUUUAUAACUUCUUUAUUUAAUCCGCUUUUAGUACUUACAAAUAAAAAUUGUACCUAUCAUGACUACAGCCCCUGAAAACAAAACUUUAAAUUUACAAGUAACUUUCAUUAGCUGCAUACUUACAUAACUAGUUUACUUCUUGAGAAGUUGGUGUCUCAAGAUGAGGAAAGGAGCCCCAAAUCCAGACCCAAAGAAUGCAAUGAAGAGGGCUGUCAACUUAUACCUAUUGCUGAUGUCAAAGGGCAAAUUCUGCACACAACACCGCAAAAAUUAACAAACAUUCUAAACAGAAUUGUAAAAAACGUUAUCAAUCCCAACCCCAAAAAUUGACAGUUAUGUAAUCUCAA
Long non-coding RNA from Tribolium castaneum (red flour beetle), 625 nucleotides. RefSeq lists it as uncharacterized. The record is from RefSeq and is a predicted model, not a curated record. The transcript is spliced from 2 exons. NCBI's taxonomy places the organism in Eukaryota, Metazoa, Arthropoda, Insecta, Coleoptera, Tenebrionidae.